CCUACGGGUGACAGCAGUGAGGAAUAUUGGUCAAUGGACGAGAGUCUGAACCAGCCAAGUAGCGUGAAGGAUGACUGCCCUAUGGGUUGUAAACUUCUUUUAUAAAGGAAUAAAACGAGGCACGUGUGCCUUUUUGCAUGUACUUUAUGAAUAAGGAUCGGCUAACUCCGUGCCAGCAGCCGCGGUAAUACGGAGGAUCCGAGCGUUAUCCGGAUUUAUUGGGUUUAAAGGGAGCGUAGAUGGGUUGUUAAGUCAGUUGUGAAAGUUUGCGGCUCAACCGUGAAAUUGCAAUUGAUACUGGCAGUCGUGAGUACAGUUGAGGUAGGCGGAAUUCGUGGUGUAGCGGUGAAAUGCUUAGAUAUCACGAAGAACCCCGAUUGCGAAGGCAGCUUACUAAACUGUGACUGACAUUGAUGCUCGAAAGUGUGGGUAUCAAACAGGAUUAGAUACCCCAGUAGUC
RNAcentral lists this ribosomal RNA (460 nucleotides) under uncultured bacterium. Its description in RNAcentral is "partial 16S ribosomal RNA". It matches the Rfam family "Bacterial small subunit ribosomal RNA", at positions 338 to 795 of the family's 1533-position model. The record is from RNAcentral.